GGACACAAGAACACAAGUCAAUAGAAGAACACAUAUUGGGAAACGCCCAAUUUUCAAUACUUUUGUUAUUCUCCUCCUCGUCAGGACACCUGUGGCUUCCUACUCACCUGAAGCAGAUCCAGUAAUCACCGCUCCUGUUUUAAACCCUGGCUUUUAGGUCAGCCUCUGCCAGAUCGUCCGUUCACCCAAGUGAUUCCCGCUUCAGCCCUGGAAGCCCAGUCUGCCUGCCUGAGCCGAAUUGUUCUUUGUUGGACCUGCCUCUUCCCUGUCUACCCGCUCUCAGCCCCAGAGGAUUUCAAAGCACCUUCAUUAGUUUUGUGUUCAAUAAACCUCUACACCUGUUCCAACCGUU
Long non-coding RNA from Perca flavescens (yellow perch), 352 nucleotides. RefSeq lists it as uncharacterized. The record is from RefSeq and is a predicted model, not a curated record. Lineage: Eukaryota; Metazoa; Chordata; Actinopteri; Perciformes; Percidae. The transcript is spliced from 2 exons.